UACAGAGGGGGCAAGCGUUAUUCGGAAUUAUUGGGCGUAAAGGGCGCGUAGGCGGCAUGGCAAGUGGAUGGUGAAAUCCCUCGGCUUAACCGAGGAACUGCCGUCCAAACUGCUUCGCUUGAGACCGGGAGAGGUGAGUGGAAUUCCCAGUGUAGCGGUGAAAUGCGUAGAUAUUGGGAGGAACACCAGCGGCGAAGGCGGCUCUCGUGCCGGUAUGACGCUGAGUGCGCGAAAGCCGGGAGG
This 243-nucleotide ribosomal RNA is filed under the name uncultured bacterium. RNAcentral describes it as "partial 16S ribosomal RNA". It matches the Rfam family "Bacterial small subunit ribosomal RNA", at positions 524 to 767 of the family's 1533-position model. The record is from RNAcentral.